AUUUGAUGCAUUUAUAAAAUAAGUUAACCUGUCCUCUGGCAUCUUCCACCAUCACUCUGCAAAUAUUCUUCUCCACUCCACGUGAUUUUUUUUUUUUUUUUUUUUUUUUUUUAAUAAUUUUCGAGGCUGUUUUUCUGUCUUCCGGAGAAUGAUCCAGAGAACAUGGGAAAGCAUUUUAUUUCGGUGAUUGUAAAGAAAAAAACAAUAUUUAAAGGCAACAGGUCAUAAAAGAUGGUUGUAUUUUUAGAAGACAGAUUAUAUUUAUAAAAGUGCACAUGCCUACAGUGGGUGUCUGUGUAAAGCGGAGUGUCUUGUCAACCAUGGAAAAGUGCUAUUUUUCCAGAAAUGUGUGGUAUAUUUAAAAAAAUACCCUCUUAUCAUAGAACCCUUAGUUGUCUAUUUUUUUGUAAAGUGCAGAGUAGUGGCAAGAGCAGCUGAUGUUAAAGCAUUUCUUCUUCUGUUCACAAGUCCAAAAGGAAUAAUAAGACUGAUUUAGCCGGCUCGACUGUUGUAGCAUUUUUAUUAGGUUGAGAAAGUGCGACUUCACUCGUGAAAACGUUUGUGUACAAUUUUGAUGGUUGUUUGUAGAAAUUUAAAGCUUCCAUUGAUCUGACUGCUCCACUGACCUCUUUUUGGUGUGUGUGUGUCUGUGUGUUUUUUUUUUUUUUUUUUUUUUUUUUUAUUGAUAAAAAAAAGGAAUUGCUGUCAUCUUGCUUAAAUGCAAGUCACAGGAGAUAUUUAUGGACGUUAGCAUGUGCCUUUUAACUGAAAUAAUCAGAGGUCUGGUAGAUUUACUGAAGUCAAGGAGGAGGCAGUGUUGCUUUAAGUAGACUGUUGCGUUGUACUGAUAUAUGCGUGAAACACGAUCCUUUGGAAAGAGUGUGUGUCUCGGUAUGCGAUAUAUUCAUGUAAUGUUGCCAUGUUGUGUUGCUACUUAUUAACAUGGAUUUCGGAAUAAUUAUUACACCCUCUACAAGAGCUAUUGGGAGGGUUUUAGCACCUUAUGUCCAAUGGUGUAUGCAUCUUUUUCGAGAACUGUUGUGUACUAAAUGAACCCUGUUUUAUAUAUUUUUUGUUUUUUUUUCCUGGAGAGGCAUGUGUGUUUCUUAUUUCUAUGUGGCACAAAUCACAAAUGUACAGAAUCAGUGCAUUGACUUUUAUCUGAAAUGCUCUUUUCUGUUGCUGGCUGUAUCUGAUUAGAAAAUGUCCACUUUAACUUUUUUUAAUGUGCAGGUUUGUGUUAACCUAAAGCUUUGUGAGUACAUGUGGACCUGUUGAUGAGGCGGUAGUGCAGGCGAUUGACUAGUACUGCUGCAAAUGGAUGAAAGUGAAACUGGAUUUGACUUUGGAAUGUAUUAAUAUUGUUUUCAUGGAAAGAUUGACUGCUUUUUCCUUGUGGAAAUUGAUUUCAAAAAAGGUUCUCUGUUGCUAAAAACCAUAAAAUUUGGGUAGGAAAAUGUACUUUAUAUUGUAGGCAGUUGAGUCAUUCAUGCCUUUCCAGUUAUACUACAGCCAAAAAGGAUAUUAGGUAGUUCAUCCUACUUCCAUUGUUGACUGAGAUGAUAAAGAUGUGUGUUCUUGGAAGACAUUUGGAACACAAAUACCUUGAGUAGUUGCUAAAAGCAAGGAAAGCAAAGGCCUCAGUAGUGUUUGCAUUUGCCUCUGCUGAAAAAAAAAAAUAGAAUUUAUUACUUUAUUGACUGAAAAAAAAAGUAUUUAGACUGUCAUGAUAAUCAUUUAAUUGUUUCAUCCAGCAAAAAUGCCAAAUACUAUCUGGUUUCAGCUACUGAAAUGCUAAUUCUGGCUUUUCUCUGGUUUAUAUCACUGUGAAUUUGUAGUUUUUGAGUUUUGCACUGUUGGCUGGUGGGGAUGGGGACAAGUAUUUUAGGGUUUUUCAUUUUCUUAUAUUUUAUAGAUUAGAUGAAAAACUUAGAUAUAACAAUGUAUCUAUGUUUAAAUUAAUUUCAGAAUGGACAUUAGACUCAAUUAUGAAACCUCAAAAUACCUCUUCCAGUUAUCUCUGCAGUACCCUUGAAGACGUCUUUACUUUCCUUCAUGCAGUUGGCAUCUUCUUUUAUUUUUGACAAUUUUAUUCAUGUAUUGUGGAUAAAGGGGCAAAGUAUUGCUAAAAAAUGUGUUUUGGUGGCUAAGUCAUAAUUCUAUUAUGCAUGUUUAAUUGAUUAGCAGUAGAAGUGGUUUCAGGAGCAAAAAAUAUCAAAUUGAUGCUAAAGGUACCCUCACGGACGGUCUGAGAGGAGCUGCUGUGUUGUGUUUCAGACGGACCACUCUUGUGGAGUGGACACAACAACAAUGGUAAAAUGGACACAAUGAACAGUUUUGGUGCUGCAGUUACAAAUUUAUUCGGGUGACCCCUGUCUGAUUUCAUUGGAUUUUGCGUUUCUUUUUAAAAAUGGAAUUCCAAAAGUAUGACAAUUCUUUAAUUUUGCUCCUGCUAAAUAUAUUUUAGCCAUGAUAAUCCCUUAAAUACUAUGCUCGAGCAUCAGCUGAUGAUACACCGAGAACAUCAAACUUGAAAUAUUGAAAAAUUGAAAGCCCUUGUCAUGGUAUGAUUUCAGAUAUGACCUCAGUGCAGAGAACAGAUAGGAAAGAACGUUCAAUGUUCUUUAAUCAGGAAGAGUUUAAGGGCAUAUACAGAUAAAACACGGGUAUCAUUCAUAUCAGGUAACAGUCCAGUAAUCGGCACACAACGGCUUGGUAGACACAAGAAGCCAGCAUUGGUCAGCAACAGGAAAUCAGACAGACAGUAUAAAUGACUAUGACAUACAAUAACAGAUGUUACAGCAAAGGGAAAACACAAAACCACAAUUUAAAAAAUGCGAGGUGGGAGGAGAAACAGGAAGAAUGCAACUGAAAAGAGACAAAGGAAGACCACGUGAAAGUUAAACAGGAAGAGACGUUGAACUGACACACUAAAAAAAUAAAUAGACCCACACUUAAUAAAUAAACAGACGUAACAUUUAACAUUCAUUCAUUCAUUUUCUGCCAUUUAUUUGGGUCUGGGUUGCCAUAGCAGUACACCAAAAGGCUCAGCCAACACUUCCAUAUCGUCAGCCAAGUCCUCUAACUCUUCAUCCUCUCCGGAUGCCUGAAGCAUCUCAGGUGGUUCCUUUCAAUGUUAAGAAGCAGUGGCUCUACUUCGAGUCCCUCCCAGAGAGACAAGCUUCUCGCCCUGUUUAGGAGCGUCAGCUCAGAUACCUGAUGGAGGAAUCACGUUUCUGCCAUUUGUAUCUACAACCUUGUUCUUUUGGUCAUUAUUACCCACAGUUCCUGACCACAGGUGCAGAAACUGAGAGUCUUUCCUUCUGGCUCAACUCUUUCUUCACCAUGACAGUCCAGUACAGUAUCUGUGGAACAUCAGAUGCAGCCCCAAUCUGUCUUAUCAGUCUCACACUCCAACUUGUGACCAAGACCCUGACAUACUUGAACUCCUCCGCUUGGACUAAUAACUCUGCCCCUGACUCAGAGGGGACAAUCCACCCUUUUCUGUUGGAGGGCCAUGGUCUCAGAUUUGGAGGUGCUAAUCAUCAUCCCAGUUGCUUUACACAAAGCCUCAAACUUGCCCAGUGUACAGCAGAGGUCACAGUCUGAUGAAGCUAAAAAAAAAAUUACAUUAUCCACAAAAAGCAGAAGUGUAAUUCUGAGGUCACCAAACUGGACACCCUCUUGUCCCUAACUGCACCUUGAAAUCCUGUCCAUGAACAACAGGAUUGGUGAGAAGUGGCAGCCUUAACAGAGUCCGGCACUCAUUGGGAGCAGGUCAGAGUUAAUGCCAAGAAUGCAGACACAGUUCAUACUUUGGUCGUAUAGAAAUGAGAUUGCAUGUUUCAGUGGUUCCAGUACCCCAAACUCGCAGCACCCCCACGGGGUAGCUCAAGGGACCUGAUCAUACAUAAUUUCCAAGUUGACAAAACACAUGUAGACUGGUUAGCCAUACUCCUUAUAAACAAAGAAGACAGAGAUAAACUAACACUUAGAAAUAAACUGGGAGGCACUAAGAAAAAUAAGCAAAGCAGUACAUUUUGAGAAAUAAU
Thalassophryne amazonica is the source of this 4052-nucleotide long non-coding RNA. RefSeq lists it as uncharacterized. The record is from RefSeq and is a predicted model, not a curated record. Lineage: Eukaryota; Metazoa; Chordata; Actinopteri; Batrachoidiformes; Batrachoididae. The transcript is spliced from 2 exons.